Long non-coding RNA from Oncorhynchus tshawytscha (Chinook salmon), 3228 nucleotides. Lineage: Eukaryota; Metazoa; Chordata; Actinopteri; Salmoniformes; Salmonidae. The record is from Ensembl.
GCCAAUUAAAGCUAGAGAAUUGAUUUGAUAGUAUACAGUCUUCACGUUUAAUGAUAGUCUAGAUACGACCGUGGAUAGGCUUACUAUAGAUGCUGACGAACAUCUACAGACAGACAGACAGCAGGACAUUCCUUCUCCUUCAGCUUAUUUAUUGUUCAGAUGGUUACAGUGCAAGUAAUAGUGGUUAGAGCUGCUACAUUACAUUGGUGUAAAUCUGAUGACUUUCCCCAAAUUCCCAGGUUUUCCAGAAAUCAUGGUUUGAAGAUUCCUGGAUUUUCUGCUUAUCAGAUAACAUGAAUCUCCCAAUCGGGAUUUCUGGAAAACCUGGGAAUUUGGGGAAAGUUACCGUAAAUUUGCAACCCUAAACAGCGGUACUAGUUACAGUGGAGACACAGGGCUCUGGAAAAUUCAGUCGCACACAAAUAAAGGUUACAAGCAUUUCGCUACACCCGCAAAAACAUCUGCUAAAUGUGUGUAUGUAACCAAUCAAAUUUGAUUUGAUUUGAAAUACCUUUUAGGGCAUAGAGCACAAUGAUAGAGGCCAGAAACAGGGUUGUAAGUAGAUUGGCCAGUAGAUUGGCCAGCGACGGGGUUGUAGUAGAUUGGCCAGUAGAUUGGCCAGCGACGGGGUUGUAGUAGAUUGGCCAGCGACGGGGUUGCAGUAGAUUGGCCAGCGACAGGGUUGCAGUAGCUUGGCUAGCGACAGGGUUGCAGUAGAUUGGCUAGCGACGGGGUUGCAGUAGAUUGGCUAGCGACGGGGUUGUAGUAGAUUGGCCAUCGACGGGGUUGUAGUAGAUUGCCAGUAGAUUGGCCAGUAGAUUGGCCAGCGACGGGGUUGUAGUAGAUUGGCUAGCGACAGGGUUGCAGUAGAUUGGCUAGCGACGGGGUUGCAGUAGAUUGGCUAGCGACGGGGUUGCAGUAGAUUGGCUAGCGACGGGGUUGCAGUAGAUUGGCUAGCGACGGGGUUGUAGUAGAUUGGCCAUCGACGGGGUUGUAGUAGAUUGGCCAUCGACGGGGUUGUAGUAGAUUGGCUAGCGACGUGGUUGUAGUAGAUUGGCCAGUAGAUUGGCUAGCGACGGGGUUGUAGUAGAUUGGCCAGUAGAUUGGCCAGCGACGGGGUUGCAGUAGAUUGGCCAGCGACGGGGUUGUAGUAGAUUGGCCAGCGACGGGGUUGCAGUAGAUUGGCCAGCGACGGGGUUGCAGUAGAUUGGCCAGCGACGGGGUUGUAGUAGAUUGGCCAGUAGAUUGGCCAGCGACGGGGUUGUAGUAGAUUGGCCAGUAGAUUGGCCAGCGACAGGGUUGUAGUAGAUGGUAAUAAUGGUAUGGUAUGCCUACGUCACCUUACGGUACAUUUGUGCAUUGUUACUAUCAGUUUUAGCUGUUUUUUAAUUAUAGUACACUUGAAGAUGUUACAGGGAGUGCAGAUACACAUUAUAUGCUAUCAACAGACUGCACAGAGUUACAUUAUAUGCUAGCAACAGGCUGCACAGAGGUACAUUCUCUAUAAAUCACUAAUGCAUAAAAUAAUGAAUACCAUGUUAAUAUAUUAUCUCUCCAAUGAUAAUGUAAGGAAAGCCAACAAUGCCAUGAAAAUAAUGCCAAUAUAACUUGAGGUUAUUUUUAAAAAACUAUAAAGCCUUUAUGAUACCAGUAUGACACUUCAUAGCAGAGAUGAGAUAGCCUUUAUGAUACCAGUAUGACACUUCAUAGCAGAGAUGAGAUAGCCUUUAUGAUACCAGUAUGACACUUCAUAGCAGACAGUAACUGAUGAGGCAUGUAGGUUAAUGAAGGCUAAACCGGAGUCAUUCUACACAGCAAGAGUCUCACCUGUAAUACACAUGACUAUAUUAGCUACUGAAAACAGAUUACAACCAAUCAGGUAACAGAUGACUGUCCCAAUUUACUGGCAUUUAAUAUGUGCAAUAAAUAAGAAAUAAAUUAAUCUACGACCCGUAAAAGUAAAACAUGACACUGAUUUUAUGAAAUCAAAACAUUUGAUCCAUGUUUCAUAAAAUCCCUUCAAAUGAAUUAUAUAUUCACUCCCUUUGAAAUGUAAAUUAAACUGCAGUAAAAUAAUACCAACUUAAUACACACAUCUGACAACUUUCUCUCCCUUUAGAUCAUGUGUCAAACUCAAGGUUGUUUGAAUUGUUUAUUUAUUUUUAUUCUGCGGGGGGGGGUGAAGACCGAAUACGGCCUUCUGGGAAAAGGAGUUUGACACCCCUGCUGUAGAUAGUUAAGAGUAAAAGGAAUAGUUGUAUGUCCAACAACACCGUCUACACAACGACACUGUCGUGAACUACGGGACAACGGACAGGAAAUAACUCAGUCACUUUUACAUUGAUGUUGGACCUGGAAACUAUAAUGGGUCUGAUUCAGACCUGAGGUAAAUAGACUCAACAUGGAUAUAAAACAUGGACCUAAGUACAAAUAUUGUUGAUUUAAGUCCAUGUUAAAGUCAACUUAUGUCAAGUCUAAAUAGGGCCUAAUGUGCAUUGACCAUCUUAAAUAAAUGAUGAAACAGUAUGAUGGGUAGCAGGCAGACAGACGGUAAGAUGGGUAACAGGCAGCAUCACCCUCAGCAGACAGACAGUAAGAUGGGUAACAGGCAACAUCACCCUCGGCAGACAGACAGUAAGAUGGGUAACAGGCAGCAUCACCCUCAGCAGACAGACAGUAAGAUGGGUAACAGGCAGCAUCACCCUCAGCAGACAGACAGUAUGAUGGGUAGCAGGCAGCAUCACCCUCGGCAGACAGACAGUAAGAUGGGUAGCAGGCAGCAUCACCCUCAGCAGACUGGUUAGUAUGAUGGGUAACAGGCAGCAUCACCCUUGGCAGACAGACAGUAAGAUGGGUAGCAGGCAGCAUCACCCUCAGCAGACUGGUUAGUAUGAUGGGUAGCAGGCAGCAUCACCCUCAGCAGACUGGUUAGUAUGAUGGGUAGCAGGCAGCAUCACCCUCAGCAGACAGUGUAGUAGUGUAGCAGGCAGCAUCACCCUCAGCAGACAGUGGUUAGUAGUGUAGCAGGCAGCAUCACCCUCAGCAGACAGUGUAGUAGUGUAGCAGGCAGCAUCACCCUCAGCAGACAGUGGUUAGUAGUGUAGCAGGCAGCAUCACCCUCAGCAGACAGUGUAGUAGUGUAGCAGGCAGCAUCACCCUCAGCAGACAGUGUAGUAGUGUAGCAGGCAGCAUCACCCUCAGCAGACAGUGUAGUAGUGUAGCAGGCAG